Molecule: RNA transcript, 2139 nt
Organism: Dendronephthya gigantea
Lineage: Eukaryota; Metazoa; Cnidaria; Anthozoa; Malacalcyonacea; Nephtheidae
Exons: 6
Source: RefSeq, a predicted model, not a curated record
GCGGUAUUUUUUAAAAUAACAAGCAAGUUCGUACUCCAAGGCAAGUAUUAAAAAAAGACUUGACGCUGAAGCAAUCGACAAAUUAUGGCUGAUGACUGUUUUCAUGUUACCUCUAGAGACUCCGCAACUCACGAGACUGCUGCCUCACGCCCAGUUUUAGAAAUGUCUCGCAGUAAAAUUCCGAACGUCUAUGAUAACAUAGACUACGCUAUUAAUAUCAUGGGAAAACCUUCAACCUUGAACCGCAUUACAGACAAGGCCCUAAUCCGUAAAAACAGAGUGGAAGCUGGAUGUGCCGCGUAUGGAUCGAGACCACCAGGCUAUAAUAUUGACGAGUACCCGUUUGCGUGCUGUGCCCAGGGUGGAAAAGGCGCUGUUUUGAGGCCGGUUCCGAUAAGAGAAAACAGCAUCCAAGGGGGCAAACUGGCACAAUUUUUCAAGAAAAAUGAUAUCAAAGAUGGCGAUUCUUUCAAGAUCAAACUUACUUAGAGCCAGGUCUUCAUAUCGUGUGGUCUAAAGCUACUGAUGUUGUAGACGUUUUAUUUGUGCUGUCACAAAAUAAAUAUUGUCAGAAACGUAAUACGACAUUUCUUUAACAAACGUCUUAUUUGCGUGCGCGAGACAGAGACAAACGUUUGUUCCUGGGUGGAUUCAGCACUAGUGCACUAAUUUGCAUGACACAAGAAAACUGCUAAAAAUAUAAACCACUUUGUUUUGUAAUGCAAAUUUGUGCAUUAGUGCUGCAUGAUCUAUCCCUGGUUUGUUCUCUUUUUUCCCCUGAUGUUUUGCCGGGUAUUUUUGUUGCCUUUUUUUACUGUUGACAGUCGCGUGGUGGGUCAAUGGUUGACCAUACAUUUCAGUGUUAAAUCAUCCAGAUCUUAUUAGGACAUGUAUUUUACCAAACCCUGGGUUUUAGCGAGACAACAAAUAAUGUCAAUAUCUCCACUUCCUUGAUUUCCGGCUUUUGGGCGGUACUUCUAAGUAAAUGAAAACUGCUUCGGUGGACAUUUGAAAGAAGUCUGAAAGUUUAAAAAUGAAGUCCAUCCUAUUAUUCAUUGCUUUGGUUGCUUUUAUUCCGACUUUAAUGGCGAAGUCUGAUGACUCGAUGAACGGGAUGAAACACAACAACUUUCACAACAACUUUAAGUUAUUUCUUAGAGCAUUAACACCGUGUCCGCGCAUCAAAUUUCCCUGUUCUCGUAUGCCAAACGUUUGCAAAAAUAUGCGAAACGCCAUUUCAAAGGGAAGACCUACAACAUUAAACCGCGUCACAAACCCGAAGACAAUAGCAAAGAACAGAAGAAACUCCGGUUGUCCAAAAUUGCCAAAAGUACCUGGAAAAAAUUGUGACGAAUACCCGUUUGCAUCAAGCAUGCAAGGUGGAGCGGGUGCUGUUAUAAUGAAUGUUCCUUCAAGAGAAAACAGUAUUCAAGGUGGAUUACUGGCCAGUUUUUAUCGAAAGCAGAAGAUCGGGAAUGGUGACUGUUACAAGGUUGCACUAGGUCCAUAAGUGACGGCUGAUUUUGUCGUCAAUUCUUUGCACUGAUGUUUCUCAAAAUAACUAAUAACUAUAUAUGUGAUUUCUCACAAAGUAAUGAAUUAAUCAAUCUUUUCAAUGAUUUUCCGCUAAACAAUUCUUUCUUAUAAAUGACACAAAUAUAGCUAAAUACGAUACGUAUUCAUGUGACCACUGAUUUUUGUCUCAAAAUCGACUUAAACUAAAACUAACCUAAUCGCUUGCGAAUUACGCAUUAGGGGUGUUACCCAAACCCCCACACGAUCCCCGCGAUCCUCACACCUCUGGUAAUUUCGCCCCGAAUAACUUCAAGUGAUUUUAAGGGCCGAAAUUUCUCUCAAAGCCAGGGUUCACUGACGCGAACUGCUUACAUAUAUACACGAAUAUCGCCUGUUAAUAACUAGUGUAGAAAAUAUACUUAAAAUACUCACGGAAAUGUUAUAUUUUUGUGAGAAAACGCAGAAGCAUCAACGCGGUUAACAGUUUAAAAAAGUAAUGAUUUCAUGGUUUAGAAGACAUUUUGUCAACUAUACAAGAUUAUGGCAAGAUAAUGGACAAUAAAAAACCCACAAAAAAGUGUUUAAAGUGCCAUUGAAAACAAUGAAGUCGUUAAAAUGUGAAAU